AUAUAAUUGUAAGUUUGUUGUACCUUUUUUUUUUUUUUUGGUACUGAGGAUUUAACACAGGGGUACUUUACCAGUGAGCCACAUCCUCAGCCCUUUUUAUUUUUUAUUUUGAGACAGGAUUUCACUUAGUUGCUGAGGGCCUCACUGAGUUGCUGAGAUUAGUCUUAAACUUGGGAUCCUCCUACCUCAGCCUCCCAAAUCACCUGGAUUCCAGGCUUGUACCAUAGCAUCUAGCUUAUUGUGAUCUUUUUAAAAAAGAUUUAUUAAGGUGUCCCUUACAUAUAUAAAAGGCAUCUUUUUUAGUGUGCAGCUUUAUGAGUUUUGACAAACACACAUGCUAAACACUACUACUGUUAAGCUAAUGAGAUGAAGUAUAAUAUGUGAAUAUGGUAUGACCAAGAGUAGUUUAUUCCCAUUUAAAAGAAAAAAUGGAUUUUUAUCCAACCUUUCUUGAAAAGAAUAAAAAAUUGUUAAAAUUUCUUUGACAUUAAUAUCAUUUUCAAAGCCUUCAAUUCUCAUAAGACAAACAGUAACUUUUGUGCACUGCUUUAAACACUAACUGGCUUAAGUCCAAAUAGUAGUUUAAUUUUCUUAAGGUAAUCUCAGUAGAUUUCAUUUAAAUAGAGGAUAAAAAUUUAUAACCUAUUAUUUAUUACCUGAAAAUUUAUUUAUCAUGUUGAUUAUUAAAGCUUCUAAAUGAUAAACCAGAGUAAUACAAAUUAAAAAAAAAAUAGCUGGCCAGGAUUAUAUGCUUAUAAUCCUAGCUACUUGAGAAAUCGAGGCAGGAGGAUUGCAAGUUUGAGGCCAGUGGGGGCAACUUAGAGAGACUUUGUCUCAAAAUAGAAAGAACUAGGGAUGUAGCUCAGUGGUAGGGUGCUUGCCUCACCUGUGUGAAGCCCUACAUUCGUUUCCUAGUACCACAUGCACAAAUAGCCAUGACACAAUUUUAGACAAAAUUUAAAAAAACAUUUCUGAAUGACCUAAAUGUAAGCCUAGCAAUCUCAACAUUAUUCUAAAUUUGUAUUGGUUAUUCAUCUUUUAUAUAGUCUUAGAUAUGUACAAAAAAUGUUUUUUUGAAACUCAAAAUGAAGAGUGAAUCUUACUUCUUUAAUAUCAAACCUGUACUUGUUUCUUUCCUGCAUAAAUAUUCAAUUCUGAGUUGAACUUGAGAGUUAAGCAAAUAUGGAUUUCAUUUUCAGCUAAAGUGCAGUUUUUUUCUUACCCAUGCAUAUAGGAAGUUGAAAACUGCAACAAAAUAUUCAUUGCUGUUCCAUGAAUAUUAGGGCAUCCUUAUUUCACAGAAUUUCAGAAUAUAUCUAGGGUUAAGCAGUAAAUACCGCCAAAGUGUGCAGUUAGACUCUGGCUCUCCGAGCACUUCCUUUCUCUCAAAGUCUCAAAUUCUCAGACUGAGCCGAACAGUCAGAGCCAGAGUCCCUCAUCCAGUCAUGUACUUAUAUUGAAAGGAAAGGAAAAUACCAUUCAAUGUUAUCUGGUAGUUCUCCUAGCUGUUUUUCAAUAGUUUUAAGGCUUGUUAAUAUUCUAUUACUCUCAAGCAGUUUUGGAAACAUUUUAAGAUUUCUUUUUUAUAAUUUGUUUCUUGUUUGUUUGUAGUACUGGGAUUGAAGUCGGGGGUGCCCUACUACCUAGCUACAUCCCCAGCUCUUUGAUUUAUUUUUUUAUUUUGAAACAGGGUUUUGCUAAGUUGCCCAAGCUGGCCUCUUCUGCCUUAACUUGCCAAGUUGUUGGGAUUACAGGCAUGCACCACUAUGUCUGGCUCAGUUUUUUUUAAUCCAUGAAUCUUGUCACUUGAAGUCAAAAGGUUUUCUCCAGAGCUUUGCAGAAAUUGGUUCAUAGGAAAUGUCUAUUGAGUAGGCUCUUCAUCAAGGCUCUAAGCAACAUCUGGCCUGCUUUUUCUUGAAAGUGCUCUGGCCACUCAAAUUUUUAACCCAACACCUGUAGUAACUCUUCCUUGCAUGCUAAAUGGCAUCUGUGUAUGAAGCAUAUACCCACUGAUUCAUCUUAGGUUUUGUGAGAGUAUUUAUUAUUUUUUUCCAGAUAUGAUGGUGACACUUAAGAAUUCAGCCAUUAUCCAAAUCACAUAUUUCUGAACACAGAAAAAUACAUAUUUCUAGUACCAGUCAAUAAAGAAAAUAAAAACAAGAAUAUACUCAUAUAACCUAUAUACAAACAACUUUAAUCAGAUAUAAUUUUUGACAGACCUAGAAAUAUUAUUAUUUGAAUGCUAAUGACCUCUAAGAUUUUUAUCCAACUUUUAAUAUAAUUUCAAAGUGAACAAACUUCUUAUGAUUUUACUCUUUAUCUUGAAAGGUUGGAGCAGUUCCUCAACUACUAGUCAGUUACCAACCAAAAGAAAUUGUGCAUGUGUUUUCAUAUUUUCACACAAUUUGUAUGUGUGUACAAAUUGCAGAUGUGCAGUACAAAUUGCAAAAUUUUUCUCUUGCUAGAUUUUUAAGACCCAUUUCAUGUUUUGUGCCAUCUACAAAAUGUUAUGACCAAAUAAUGAUUUGACAAUACCAUUAUUUUAAAUUAUGUUAAAAUUAUCCCAAAAUAAUAGAAAAUAUUAUUUUAUAUAUAUUUUAUUGCAUUUACAAAGAAAUGUGCACUUUAAAAAAAGUGUGUGACAGACUUUGAAUUGGUAGUAUCAGACAUCUGAAUUUAAUUACAAGUAUGAUAAAUCUAAAACAAAGAAGACAUAUAUAAUCACAUACAUAUGAUAAUGCUUAGUUUACAUUUUAGAUAUCAGGUACAUCUCUGUCCUAAAAGUAUGGACAAAAAAUUUUGUACUCCUUAUUCAUGACAUGUAAUUCACCAAGCACCAAGGCAAAAUGAAGACUGACUCACCUCUUAUUGAAGUAAAUGCCUGUGACAAACAUUUGUACAAUAUCAUGUAAAAAGCCAAGCAAAUGAAAUUAUUCAAUAAGCAAAUUCAAAUCAGUGUUUUAAAAAAAUAUAAUCUUUGGUAAUUUUCCUCUUUUAAUGUUCUGACCUAGACAAUAAUGUAGUGUUUUGGAACAAAGACUGUCAUGCCAUUUCCAAUUUUGGACUAGAAAUUGUCCUUAUGGUAUGAUAUGAGAUGUAAACAAUAGCAGUUUUUAAAAAGCAAAAAUAAAAAGUUGAAAGAAAAAAAUGACUUCCUCUUCUGCAUGUGAGGACAGGGUCUUAAGGAUCCCACUGACCUUCAUAUCCAUGUCACUCCAGACUCAUCCUCAGGCUGGUGGUCCUUUCAUUGUCUGAUUCUCCAUGAUCUCUAUGGCUACACAGAGACUAUUGAAUGUGGGGCCAUCCUACUUUUGAUACUCAGACCUUCAUUUUUCUCAGCAUCCUCUUGGAACAAAGAAGUUGUGGGCAGGGGGUGGGGGGCUUCAGAUGCUCUCCCAUUGUUUUUCUGUACUGUUGCAGGUAGAGUGGUGCUUCAUUGCUUGGUCUGUGUCAGUGCUGUGGGGUGCCCAGCAGAGGCCUUACUUGCACAAUUCCCUUUCCUCUCCACAGUGGCAGUGGCUGUAACAUUCUUGGCUAGGUCAGACACUUUUACACAGUUUUUAAAACAUUCUUGAGCGAACUUGUCUGUGUUUAACAAACAGCCAUUUGGGGGAUCCAUAGCUACCUUCAUAAAUUGUUUUCCACAGAUGAAGCACAAUGAAAUAGAGCAACUUGAGUUUUUACCCAAGUACCACCUGUUAAUAAACAGUUUCCAUCAACAAGAUGGACUUUUUGGUGUCCCCUAUUACAGUAGUGUGGUGAAAUGGUUCCAAACCUUCUAAUUCAUUGUCAUUACUUUAUCAGAGUCGUCUUUAGGUUUAGGCUUAGAAUCUUCCUCUCGCAGAAAAUCACACUGAAUCGAGUAAUUCCUUCCAACUCUUUUUGACACCAGUGAGAGCAUGCUUGCUCUGGUUGGUGCAUAAGAGGUGGUUGGGGCAGAUAAGUCAGAAAAAGACGUGCUUUCUGUGUUCAGUACAACUUGGGGCUCACGAACUACCAAUGGCUUCCUUUGUCUUGCAGUAAAAACUGAAAGUGGAAUUAACCAAAUGAACACAGUCCUGCUGCUCACUGCUAUAUGAGUGUUAAAGACCUAUCAUAUUGCUAUCUGGGCUACUCAGUCUCUGUCCAUUCCUGUGAAUGUGCAUUGCCCAGUGUACAAAGUUCAAAUGUUACUCUUUUUUAAUCACUCCCUUACUUGGAGUUCUUAGUGACAGCUCAAUAACAUCCCUGGGAUGUUAUUGAAAACUUGGUUUGGACAGCUGUAGCCAUUUAGAGUUUUCCAUAUUUAAAAGUAUGAGGCAUAAAUAGUGGCCUCACAAAAAUGUCUAUAUUCUAAUCCUGGGAACCUGUGACUGUUAUGUUACAUGGCAAAAGGAACUUUGCAGAAGCUUGAGAUGGGGAGGUUCUCCUGCAGUUCCUUUUAAGGCUUUAGGGACAAUUAAAAUAAAGAUGUUAAAAUGGGACAUGAUGGUUAAAAGCAUGGACUCUGUAGCCAAACUGCUGUGUGAUUAUGGAUAAUUUGUUUUUCUAUGCCUCACUUUUCACCUCUGAAAAAUAGAACUAAACUAUUGUUGUGAGGAUUAGAUGAGAGGAUUAGGAUAGUAUGUGGCACAUCACAAAUACUCACAAGUGUUAGCUAUUUCUUAUUUACAUAGCAAUUCCAUGUGGAAGAACAUUUCUUCUGAUCUUUGCUCUAGAUCUGAGAGCAGAUGAUCUAGCUGUAAUAGCACAGUUUACACUGGAUUGUGUGUAGUGAUUUCUUUCUUAUCCUUGUUAGUCUUCGAAUUUUAUGAAUGUAGUUGACUUGUUCUCAUAUUACACUAUGUAAUUGGAUAUGUUAAUCCUUCACUUAGAAAUCUUCCUUUUAAUGCAUUGGCUCAAUUUACAACUAUCAUGGUUUUAUCUUUGAUGCAAAAACAUGCACCCUUUUUCAUCUAACCUGGGAGCUAUAGAUGGUAUGGUAUUAUUUUAGUAUUUGAUCUUCAUUUAUGUUUAUUAUUUCUUCACUCAUUGAUAUAGAUUCUCUAGCCAUUUGUUUACUAGAGCAUGAUAACCUCUAGAACUGGAAAUUCAGUCAUUCAUUCAAUAAAAUAUUUCUUCAACAAAGAUCUGUUUAUUCCUUGUGCAUACUACAAAAGGAACAGUUCCCACACCUUUCAGGAUGCUUAUUGUGUAGUCAGCAAGACAGAGCCAAAAGCACAUGAUUAUGAUUAGAGAUGUGCACCAAUGUCAUAGGUUGGCAAAAAGAAGGACUGAGGGAGUUCAAUAAAUCUAGCCAGAUUUAGGACUCACUGAGUAUGUAGGAGUUGACCAUGCAGAGAGAGAGCACAUCAUAGACCAUUCUGAAACACCUUAAAUAGGCACCUUUCUAUGUAAUCUAUGAUCUUAAUUACAGUCAGCUUCCUUCAUCAUGGAGCACAAUGUUUGACAUUCUACCUUGAAUUAAACAAGAAAUUCAGACUUGAAAUCACUGCCUCCAUAUUAAAUUAUUCGAAGUAUAAUGAUUACAUUAAACCUUACUGUGUAGUCUCAGGCAAAAAGAUUGUUGGUAAGGAAUGUAGCAUCAGCCCUACCAUUUCAACUGAAAGAUCUAGAUGAUGACAGGUUAUAAAAUUGACUCACCCCAAAGUAACAACAAGUUUAAUAUCAACUUGGAAAAAAAAUAAUCUUAACAUCAAAAAGACUUUGAAAGUUGUAAAGCAAUCAUCUUUUGACUGUCAAAAAAAGGUAGUAAAGAGGUAAGACAUAAAAGAGAUAAC
This 5759-nucleotide long non-coding RNA is filed under the name Marmota monax (woodchuck). The record is from RNAcentral. Lineage: Eukaryota; Metazoa; Chordata; Mammalia; Rodentia; Sciuridae.